Molecule: ribosomal RNA, 500 nt
Filed under: uncultured bacterium
Lineage: Bacteria
Description: partial 16S ribosomal RNA
Rfam family: Bacterial small subunit ribosomal RNA
Source: RNAcentral
AUUGAACGCUGGCGGCAUGCCUUACACAUGCAAGUCGAACGGCAGCACGGGAGCAAUCCUGGUGGCGAGUGGCGAACGGGUGAGUAAAGUAUCGGAACGUGCCCAGUCGUGGGGGAUAACGUAGCGAAAGUUACGCUAAUACCGCAUACGAUCUAUGGGUGAAAGCGGGGGAUCGCAAGACCUCGCGCGAUUGGAGCGGCCGAUAUCAGAUUAGGUAGUUGGUGGGGUAAAGGCUCACCAAGCCGACGAGCUGCAGCUGGUCUGAGAGGACGACCAGCCACACUGGGACUGAGACACGGCCCAGACUCCUACGGGAGGCAGCAGUGGGGAAUUUUGGACAAUGGGCGAAAGCCUGAUCCAGCCAUGCCGCGUGCAGGAUGAAGGCCUUCGGGUUGUAAACUGCUUUUGUACGGAACGAAAAGGUUUGGCCUAAUAAGCUGAGCUCAUGACGGUACCGUAAGAAUAAGCACCGGCUAACUACGUGCCAGCCGCCGCCGUAA